GACGAACGCUGGCGGCGUGCUUAACACAUGCAAGUCGAACGGAAAGGCCUGCUUUCCCUUGUGGAUUGCGGGUGCUCGAGUGGCGAACGGGUGAGUAACACGUGAGUGAUCUGCCCCCAACUUGGGUAUAAGCCUGGGAAACUGGGUCUAAUUCCCGAUAGGACUGCAGGGUGGUGCCUGUGGUGGAAAACGAUUUUCUAGUGGUUGGGGAUGAGCUCGCGGCCUAUCAGCUUGUUGGUGGGGUAAUGGCCUACCAAGGCGGCGACGGGUAGCCGGCCUGAGAGGGUGGACGGCCACAUUGGGACUGAGAUUCGGCCCAGACUCCUACGGGAGGCAGCAGUGGGGAAUAUUACACAAUGGGCGGAAGCCUGAUGCAGCGACGCCGCGUGGGGGAUGACGGCCUUCGGGUUGUAAACUCCUUUCGACCGCGAGGAAGCCACCUGGUUGGAAGGGUGGUGACGGUAGUGGUAGAAGAAGCACCGGCUAACUACGUG
This 494-nucleotide ribosomal RNA is filed under the name uncultured bacterium. RNAcentral describes it as "partial 16S ribosomal RNA". It matches the Rfam family "Bacterial small subunit ribosomal RNA", at positions 28 to 507 of the family's 1533-position model. The record is from RNAcentral.